Paramuricea clavata is the source of this 298-nucleotide non-coding RNA. The record is from the annotation of a GenBank genome assembly. Lineage: Eukaryota; Metazoa; Cnidaria; Anthozoa; Malacalcyonacea; Plexauridae.
CACUCACCAUCGGAUGCAGUUGAGAACGAAGUAAAAGUCUCUUCACCAAAACCAUAAUAAUUUCCAGCAGCUACAGAUAUUUCAUAUGUAGUAUACGGAGUGAGAUUAUUUAUUUCAUAUUCAUUUACUCUUCCUGUGGUAAUGUUUACGAUUAGAAUGUUUUCUUUCUUCAACUCAAUCCAAAAGCCUGAUAUAUAUACAUAUAUCCCAUGAUAUUUAGGAUCUGCCCAAGAUAUUUCAGCACUUCUAGACGUGAUGUUAGUGACGGUGAGGUUUAUAGGUUUGUCUGGUAGUACAG